UCCGGUCGAGAGGAGAGGGAAGAUUGGAUAAGAAGGGAAACCCAAAAGGACCAUUUUUAUAAGUGAGUCUGGCCUCGCUCAAGUCCUUGGUAAGGGCAAGAAAUCCCACUGCUGCUUACUGAUGCGGCCAUCAGGGAAACUCCACCAGGCUCAUCUGCUCCCCGGUCACAGUCAUGGCUGGAAGCCACAUGGAGAUUGUGAAUGCCAGUUGGAACAUGAAGAAAACCACGCUCAGAUCCUGAUCUCCAUGGCCAUUCCUGCUCACCUAUGAGACCAGGGGUGGGAGGACACAAUAUUCCUCUCUCACUGCCUGAAUUCCACCCUCUGUGUAGGCAACAGCUGGAAUAAAAACUCUGUUCUCCA
Long non-coding RNA from Grammomys surdaster, 363 nucleotides. RefSeq lists it as uncharacterized. The record is from RefSeq and is a predicted model, not a curated record. Lineage: Eukaryota; Metazoa; Chordata; Mammalia; Rodentia; Muridae. The transcript has 2 exons.